Molecule: long non-coding RNA, 1058 nt
Organism: Oxyura jamaicensis (ruddy duck)
Lineage: Eukaryota; Metazoa; Chordata; Aves; Anseriformes; Anatidae
Exons: 3
Source: RefSeq, a predicted model, not a curated record
GAAGUCUUGCCUUGUAAUUACCCUGGUCAUAACCCUGUAUGUCCACACUUCCACACCAUUUUUGCUGAAAAGAUGAUCAUGGACUUUGGAGAAUAUUCUAAUUCAAUGGGCAAUCAGCUGAAUUUACACUAAAGCAGCAUGUAAACUGGGUAACCAGAUGUGUUCUUGAAUUUCCUGAAUUUUAUGUAUCAUCUGGAUGAAGCAUCUGGAUCCACCUCAUUGUGUAGCCUUUACUGACACAAAAUACUUUGGACUGGCAGGUAAAGGAAACCAGAAUCAGCUGGUAGUGUUCAGCUUGCUCCAAAGCUUGUUGGAUUGCCCUUAAUGACUACAUUAAGCUGAUCAGAAGCAGAGGGGAGCUGGUAGCUAUGCAAGAUACUGAACUUGCUUUCUAAUCCCAGCUCAGUCAGAGUGCUAUUUUCCUAUAUCUCUGUGAGCAGUGAAUUCUCACUUGGACUCAUCCAGGAGACAGAAAUGUUUCUGUGUAUGGAACUGGAAACAUGGUCACUACUCAGCUAAAAAAAUGUAUCUGCCGCUGGUGGAACCCGGAAGAACAACAAACUCACAUUUCUAUGGACUCCUAGCAAAACAUAGCCUGUUUUUUUCCCCUGAAGAUAAAUUUUCACAGACACAAUGCAGCCACACUGUAUUUAUAGCUGCAGAUGGCUGUUCUUUCCCCUUAGCCUCACAAGUGUGUGUAUCAAACAAUAGGAAACUCUGCAGAAGUGUUUUUCAUCGUUUUGUUGUAUGUGAGCCUGUCAUUUACGCACAGCCUCUGUGGAAAAUAUCCCCUCCCUUUUCUGCCAUUUGAAUGAUGUUUCCCUUCAGGGGUAUUCUUUUCUGAAAAGUCAAAUUAAUGUGUUCUGUGUGGUGUAGCAUACAACAAAUGCCAUGAACUCCUCCCCUCAAGCAAGCUGAACAAUCCCUGCAGACCUGUGCAGGCAUCACGGGCCCAUUCUUAAUAUUCCAGAAGUGACUUUUACAAUUGAACGGGUUAUAUGGUAUGUUGUGUGCUAGCAGUGUCACUGGCACUGUCAGAGUACAGCAUCUUGAUUUGA